CUACGGGGGGCUGCAGUAAGGAAUAUUGCGCAAUGGAGGCAACUCUGACGCAGCCAUGCCGCGUGCAGGAAGAAGGCCUUAUGGGUCGUAAACUGCUUUUAUUUAGGAAUAAACCCCCGAACGUGUUCGGGGCUGAAGGUACUAAACGAAUAAGCACCGGCUAACUCCGUGCCAGCAGCCGCGGUAAUACGGAGGGUGCAAGCGUUAUCCGGAUUUAUUGGGUGUAAAGGGUGCGCAGGCGGGCUUUUAAGUCAGUGGUGAAAUCCCGGGGCUCAACUCCGGAACUGCCAUUGAUACUGAUAGUCUUGAGUUUGGUUGAAGUGGGCGGAAUGUAGCAUGUAGCGGUGAAAUGCAUAGAUAUGCUACAGAACACCAAUCGCGAAGGCAGCUCACUAAGCCAAAACUGACGCUCAUGCACAAAAGCGUGGGGAUCAAACAGGAUUAGAUACCCCGGUAGUC
RNAcentral lists this ribosomal RNA (459 nucleotides) under uncultured bacterium. RNAcentral describes it as "partial 16S ribosomal RNA". It matches the Rfam family "Bacterial small subunit ribosomal RNA", at positions 339 to 795 of the family's 1533-position model. The record is from RNAcentral.